This is a long non-coding RNA of Cydia splendana, 361 nucleotides long. RefSeq lists it as uncharacterized. Lineage: Eukaryota; Metazoa; Arthropoda; Insecta; Lepidoptera; Tortricidae. The transcript is spliced from 3 exons. The record is from RefSeq and is a predicted model, not a curated record.
UUUAGUAUUCUUUACACAUCGAUUUAAUCACGAUAUAAAAUAUUUACACGUUACAAUAAAUCUAAAUAAGUUAAGUGAUAAAUUUGCUCAAUUAAGGAAGACUAUGAAAGUUUUAAGAGAGUGGACAAUCGACGCACCAUGGGGAAAAAUAGCAAUGAUAUCAUGGGGCAACGAGGCAGGCUUGCCAGUACUGCUGGUACACGGAAGGCAGGACAGCGCCGCCACCUUUGAGCCGCUACUACAGUUGUUGCCGGACUCGUACCAUUAUGUGGCUCUGGACCUACCCGGACAUGGGCGCUCUGAUCCUUUCCCUACAGGAGUGAUGCCAACGAGGCUGCAUUUCGUAGGCGCCGUGCAGGUG